This 73-nucleotide transfer RNA is filed under the name Bos taurus (domestic cattle). It matches the Rfam family "tRNA". From Rfam's summary of the family: Transfer RNA (tRNA) molecules are approximately 80 nucleotides in length. Their secondary structure includes four short double-helical elements and three loops (D, anti-codon, and T loops). Further hydrogen bonds mediate the characteristic L-shaped molecular structure. tRNAs have two regions of fundamental functional importance: the anti-codon, which is responsible for specific mRNA codon recognition, and the 3' end, to which the tRNAs corresponding amino acid is attached (by aminoacyl-tRNA synthetases). tRNAs cope with the degeneracy of the genetic code in two manners: having more than one tRNA (with a specific anti-codon) for a particular amino acid; and 'wobble' base-pairing, i.e. permitting non-standard base-pairing at the 3rd anti-codon position. Lineage: Eukaryota; Metazoa; Chordata; Mammalia; Artiodactyla; Bovidae. The record is from Rfam by way of RNAcentral.
UCCCUGGGGGUCCACUUGUUAGGACCCUGUUCUUCCACUGCAGGGGGCACAGGUUCAAUCCCUGCUCAAGGAA